CUCUUUCGUACUCGUAGGACUUCUUUUCGACCUACACCACUCACUCAGUGCAGCGUAAGACGAGAAAAGUCAGGUGAGACAAGCAUCUUUUCAAUAUGUCUGGUAAGGAGGAUGAUGAGAUGGCAGCAAUAAUACCUGAUCAGGAGACGGAGGAGGAGGACCCAGUGACGGAGAAGAAGAAAAGUCAUGGAACUAGUUCUUUGAUUACCGCCUCGCUGUUGAUGAGCAACAUCUCGCAGCUCCGCCUAUUGGUGGUCGGGGGAGCGAAAAAAGAUAGGCCCGGUCUCUGGGGAGCGCUACUGGCUCUCAUCUCCAUAUCUAUCCUGCUGCAACUUAUUAUAGCGGUAUUGUUAAUU
Molecule: long non-coding RNA, 356 nt
Organism: Lineus longissimus
Lineage: Eukaryota; Metazoa; Nemertea; Pilidiophora; Heteronemertea; Lineidae
Exons: 3
Source: RefSeq, a predicted model, not a curated record